CGGAGGGGGCGGGGCCGCGCGCGGGGCGGGGCGGAGCCUCAGCUGCCCCUGUGGACCGCCCAGUCCAGGCCCGGUGGGGCUCCGCUCAGCAACCUGCAGAGCCCUGAUAGCUAAAAUGUAAUUUCAGAUUGGACAAGUAAGUGACCCUCCUCUCAGUCCCACGUGUGUACCAGGGGCUUUACAGAAGCGCAGGCUCGCAGCGCGAACGUUCUCCAACCGGAGAGCGUAUCUGGCCCAAGCUUCCCUCCCCUUUCCCGCAGUCGCCUCCUCCUCUUCCUCCUCUCACCGCCUGAGUCUUAACACCAGCGCCAGCCGGGCCCUUGGCCUCGGAGAUCUUGUUGAGUCCCCCUGUGUUCUGGGGCCCUCUACCACCUUAUUUCAGGAUAUUUCCUGGUAAAGAAUCCGCCCGCAAUGCAGGAGACCGAGGUUCGAUCCUUGGGUUGGAAAGAUUCCCUGGAGAAGGAAAAGGCUACUGGCCUGUAGAAUUCCAUGGACUAUAUAGUCCAUGGGGUCGCAAAGAGUCGGACACGACGGAGCAACUUUCACC
This is a long non-coding RNA of Bos taurus (domestic cattle), 547 nucleotides long. The record is from Ensembl. NCBI's taxonomy places the organism in Eukaryota, Metazoa, Chordata, Mammalia, Artiodactyla, Bovidae.